UACGAGAGGUGCAAGCGUUAUUCGGAAUUAUUGGGCGUAAAGGGUGCGUAGGCGGCAUGUUAAGUCUGUUGUUAAAUUUCCCGGCCCAACCGGGAGUCAGCGGCAGAUACUGAUGUGCUAGAGGAUGGAAGAGAGAAGUGGAAUUCUUGGAGUAGCGGUAAAAUGCGUAGAUCUCAAGAGGAACACCGAUGGCGAAGGCAGCUUCUUGGUCCAUUUCUGACGCUAAUGCACGAAAGCGUGGGGAGCAAACAGG
This 253-nucleotide ribosomal RNA is filed under the name uncultured bacterium. RNAcentral describes it as "partial 16S ribosomal RNA". It matches the Rfam family "Bacterial small subunit ribosomal RNA", at positions 524 to 776 of the family's 1533-position model. The record is from RNAcentral.